CUACGGGAGGCAGCAGUGGGGAAUAUUGGACAAUGGGCGAAAGCCUGAUCCAGCGACGCCGCGUGGGUGAAGAAGGCCUGCGGGUUGUAAAGCCCUUUCGUUGGGGAAGAAAAGUGUCGACCUAACACGUCGGCACCUUGACGUUACCCAAAGAAGAAGCACCGGCUAACUCUGUGCUAGCAGCCGCGGUAAUACAGAGGGUGCGAGCGUUAAUCGGAAUUACUGGGCGUAAAGCGCACGUAGAUGGCUUCGUAAGUCGGAUGUGAAAUCCCCGGGCUCAACCUGGGAACUGCAUUCGAAACUGCGUUGCUCGAGUGUGGAAGAGGGAAGCGGAAUUCCAGGUGUAGCGGUGAAAUGCGUAGAUAUCUGGAGGAACAUCAGUGGCGAAAGCGGCUUCCUGGUCCAACACUGACAUUCAGGUGCGAAAGCGUGGGGAGCAAACAGGAUUAGAAACCCGUGUAGUCC
RNAcentral lists this ribosomal RNA (465 nucleotides) under uncultured bacterium. Its description in RNAcentral is "bacterial SSU rRNA". It matches the Rfam family "Bacterial small subunit ribosomal RNA", at positions 339 to 796 of the family's 1533-position model. The record is from RNAcentral.